Molecule: long non-coding RNA, 14788 nt
Organism: Penaeus indicus
Lineage: Eukaryota; Metazoa; Arthropoda; Malacostraca; Decapoda; Penaeidae
Exons: 2
Source: RefSeq, a predicted model, not a curated record
UUGGACCUUAUCAUAGGUGGAUCUGUAAACGUUUUAAAGCGGUUUUCGGAUCUGUGAACGUACGUUUUAAGACGCAUUUUGGAUCUGCAAACGUUUUAAGACAAGUUUCGCAUCCGUAAACGUUUUAAGACGAAUUUCUCUGGAUUUAGGAAUCGAUGGGUAACUUUUUUUUUCUUCGUUUGGUAACCUUUACUCAUGGAUUCUGUGGUUAGACUGAAGUAAUACUUGGAUAAAGUAUAGAAUAUUAAGCUAUGGACUGGGAAAAUCUGGAAUUAUUAUUGCAUUGUUUCCGUAUUCAAAAGAGUAACAAAACUCAAGAGUGGACAGUACAUGACAACAUCAAAUAGAUAGUUCUGGUAGUCUUGUUUGACACAGAAACCACGACAUGAGCACUGGUUCCGACAACGCCAGCGACAAAAGUGGGCUUCAUACAAAUGGCCUCCGAUUCAGGAAAGAAAUUAGCCAGAAUUUUUUUUUCUAUGUAGCUUUAUACCGUGUUGAUGAGAGAAUCAAAGGACACUUUUUUUUUAAGAGAAGUGAAAUGCAAAUGAAUCGUAAUUUUAUUAUUAUUAUUAUUAUUAAUCAUUAUUAUGAACUGUGUGUAUAUUCAGCGUUUUGAAAGGCUAGAAUCACCCGGAAGAAGGUUGAGAAUAGAGAAAGGGGAAGCAAAUAGGACGGUCUUGAAGUGUGAGACAAUGGAACCUCAGAUUAAUUUGAUAAGUAAUUCUAAAUCAUUCAGAAAAUGUUGACCAGACAAAAAUAGAUUUUGAGAAAAAAACGAAACCUUCAACUUUUUUAGGAUCAAAGUCUCAAGAACACUUCGUAAAAAAACAAAACAAACCAAAAAAAGUCAAUGUUUUCAUUCUUAUUGGAUACCUUCGGGAAACCAAGAAUCCGUACCAGACAAGACCACAAGACAGGCCUCCUAAACUCUUUGCUUCCUCUCUUUCUAAGACCAUGUACACUCACCCACAGUGUUUUUUGCCUCACGAAGUAUAAGGACGGGGCUUGUAUUUCAAACCUGGGAGGAUUCUCGAGCGACUGGGUGGAGAUGGAGGACGAGGAGGAGGGGGGGGGAGAGGGUGUUCAGUCGAGGGCUUCUUAAUACCCACGAGGAGAACUUUCCGUUUCUAUUCCCCCCUCUCCCUCAAAAAAAAAAGAUUAAAAAGGAUAGUAGAGUAAAGGAAAAUCUUGGUUAUUUUGGUUCAUAAUGUGUGUUCCAUCUGCCCUGUCCCUCCUGCCCCCCCCUCUCGCAACAGGAUUUCUCCCACAAGCUUCAUGGUUUUCAAGAAUAAAAUUUGAAUCGACAACCACCACCACAACAAGCUACAUCUUUGGCUCAAAUUUCUUGAUUGUACAUAGUAGACUUGUAGGCCUAUUCGUAAGUUAGGAUCAAGAUAUAAGGAACUCAAUAGUAAUAAAGGUUCAAUUACAGUGCAUCAUGUUUUGUUCGCUUGCUACUUUUGAUCAGUUAGUGGAAUGGAACCCAAUUUUCUUCGAAUUAGAAUGUGCCUUGACAUGGAUUAAAAAAAAGUAAAAACCAAAUAAAAAAAAUGAAUCGAUAGAUAUGUGUUGCUUCUUAUUUCAAAUUGGCAUGAUUUGUAAUUAUUAUGAUUAUGGGAAAUAAAUUUACUUUUGUACCCUAAUUGGCUCUCGUCUUUUUUCAAAUUCCAUUUUCUCUCAGUUCACGCUGAGGACUGGCCAGGUCUGUCUUGAGAGACGGACCUGGCCCGCCUUGGUAUCCAAAAACAACAAAGAAAAAAAAAACUGAAACACAUCAUACACACAAAUUGACACGAAAUUCUCUCUUUUUAGAAGGAAGAGUAACAAUAACAACAGAAGGAAUUGAUUUCACAAAAUCAUAGACUUGAAUGUUGGUUGAAAAUCAGUAUCAGAUGGAUCCAGAGAUGUGAAAGUGGAUUGAAAAGCUGGAAACACUGACUUCAAAGCUGGUUUAACACACGGAUUCAUAGACUUGACUCGUGUAUGCAUUAAUCAUGACUUAAAUAACCAAAUUCUCAAAUGACAAAAUGCAAUAAAGAAACAGAACCAGUGUUCUCUUACCCCGGCUAGAACAUGAGUAAGUUGGUGGACGCUGAGAGACAAAAUUUCUUCAGGUCGGUAAGUUAGAGGGUAAUGAGCUGCAAAUAUAAAAAAAUAAUAAUAAUAAAAUUUAAAAAAAUAUAUAUAUAUAAAAAAAAAAUUGAAGAUCAUUUUGGAAUCAAAAAGAGAGAGAAAGAAGAAAAAAAGAAAGAAAAGAAAAGCAGGUAAAUAAAGAUUUGAUAAUCAAGAACAGCAAUCUUCCAUGUUGAUGAACGAGCCCAGAGAGGUUCCUUCUACACACGGAAGAUAUAAAAAAAGAAAAAAAAAGAGAAAUAAAAGAAAUAGAAAGAAAUAAAUAAAACAAAUUGGAAUAAAAUAACGAACCAACCCUCAUUACCCUAACCCAAAAUUAUACAUACUUAAUUCUCCUCCUCCACCAACGAACUCCUGUUGCAUCUUGCACAAGCCAUGCAAGGAACGAAACGAAGACGUUCCUCGGCAUGCAGUUCCCCAGGACAUUGCAACCCCGAGACACUGGCACGGGCGCACUCUCGGCUGAGACCAGUACAAAGGGGUUCUGGCGAUCGGAGGCGAAGGGUGUCGCUCCGACUUGGCAACUGUGGGCUCUUCACGCCUGGUUGUUUAUGUGUAUGUAUAUGGACGUGUGUAUGUAUGGUUGUCUACGUAUACAUAUAUGUUUCUGUUUAUGUACAUGCAUCGUUGUGUAUGCAUUUAUAUGAACACAUACACAUAUAAUAUAGAUAUGUAUGUAUGAUUUCAAUUCUCAUUUUCUAUUUUUUUUUUUUUUUUUUUUUUAUUAUGUGCGUCUGCCUCCACGAAUCUACGCCCUUACAUAUCUCUUUCAGUUUCUGUUUUGACACUUUGCCUUCUCCCUUCUUCGUACCUCUCUGUGUGUAUGCGUUAUUCCCAUUUGCCAUUUCCUUCGUUUUUUUAAUCUAUACCUCAACCAAUUUUCUUUACUAAAUGACUUCCAACCCAUUUCUGUAUUUCACAUUUGUCAGCCUCUUUCCCCAUUUCCCCCACUUCUAAGCUCUUCCAACUCCCAAACUUAUCAUUCCUGAAGACUAAUAAAUGUACAGCUUUUUCAGUACAUUCUACAAUACACACCCACACACACACACACCUUGAUACUGUAGCCAUACAAAUUUCUACAGAGUUUAAAAGCUUCUUCGAAUCCCUUACCUCGGCUUUCUUCUUGUCGAGUGUAUGAGGGUUCCAAUACUCAUUUGAUAUGUAUAUGUGUGUGUGUAUAUAUAUGUAUAUAUAUACAUAUAUACAUAAACAUAAAUAUAUAUUGGAUAGGAAUUCAAGAUUAGCAAUUCAACAUUUUCGUGAGCCCUUGUACUUAGUUGCUUUCAAAUUUUUUGGUAUUGUAUAUUUUGCAUAAGUGUCAUGACUAUGUUGAAUUUCUACGUGUUCUUUUUCAUACUAUUUUCUAUGACCUUUAAUGUGCUUUGAUUUGCUCAAUAGGCAAAGACGUGGAACCUAAUUAAUUUUAAUGGUGAAGGACCCAACUCUUUUUUUUCAUUUCUUUGACUUUAUUGAUAAGAAUAUUAUCUUCUCACACAUUGCUUUUAAGGAUAACGAUAAAAAAACAGAACUUGGGGUUGUCUCAUUUCGAAGCGAUGGUGUUUCCCUUGCUUCGAAACGCUGACAAGAAAUUAUCCAAAACGAUACGAUACACUUUUCUCCCUUUUUCUGUCUUCCUUUUGCCUGAUAACACUUGCCUUUUUACCUGGAAACUCUUGCUAUGUCUCUCGAGAAGUUCCCGGCAACGUUUCGGAAGAUGUGAGAGUUUGCGAGGAAUUAUAUCGAGGGUCAGUAGUGUUCUCUUCUCUUCCUCGGCAUGAAAACUAUAGGAUAAAUAGUAUAUAUAUAUCUUUCUCCUUACAUAAUAGACUUAUACACUUGACACAAUACACUUAAGAUUUUUUUUUCCUAGAUAUAUAACUAUAGGAUUAAGGCAAACUCCCACACUUGCAUAGAUAUUAAGUUGUGUGAUUGAGGUGUCCUGUGUUGAUGUAGUUUCCUGCGCCAAGUGUCCCAAGGAGGCAAAAUAGCGAAUGGACCUCGACAAGGCUUUGGAGGGGAGGAGCUGACAGACAGACUUUGGGGUCGAACGCUUAGUGCUCUUACAGGAGACGUUGAGAGCCCAAACAGAGCACUCGAGGCUUAGCUGGAGGUGGAGAGUGACCGAAGAAGAAGGAAGGUAAACACACACACACACACACACACACACACACACACACACACACACACACACACACACACACACACACACACACACACACACACACACUCACUCACUCACUAACAUUAAAACAUAUUUCCAGCACAGAACGCGCGCGCGCACACGCACCCACACCCACACCCCACAGCACGGCACCCUGACACGCCAAGCACUUCCAAACACACGUGAAAGACAACUCUUCCCAUACCAAAGAGGCGCCCAUAUUUUUCUCUUUUGCAAACUUUUCCCCACACGUACGCAUACUAAACACACACACGAAAAAAUACACGAACAUAUCCAGCAACACCGCCCAUUCAGAAGACGCACACAACCACAACCUCAACCUUCUAAAGAUGUACACAAGACAUAUCCCUCAAAACCAAUGCCUUCCGAGGAUGUACACACGUGCACUCAAUACCUCCACCUAAGUGUACACAUGUACGGAAGUAUGACGACGAAUUUGCGUACAUGGAGAACAACACGUGGUUUGUUUGGGUGGGAAUGAACCUGCGAUGCGAAAGACAAAGAGUCGGAUUUUCCUACAGUGGUUGGCUAAGAAUCGAUAGCACAGGUAAGGCUAGUAAUUGAGUGUGUGUGAGAGAGAAAGAGGUAGAUAGAUAGAUAGAUAGGCGAGAAAAAGAGAGAAGUGGGUUACGACAGAAAGGGAGUGAGAGAGAGAACGUGAGAGGAAAGGAGAGGAAAUACGUAUUUUGGAAGUUGGAGAGAGAGAGAGAGAGAGAGAGAGAGAGAGAGAGAGAGAGAGAGAGAGAGAGAGAGAGAGAGAGAGAGCAGGCAGGCAGGCAUGCAGGGAAGAGAUAGGAAAGGUAAGGAAUAAGGAAAGUUAGUUGAAGCAGGGAAGUAGAAACAUGGAAGUUAAAGGUAUUGGAAGAAUAAAGGGAACGGAGAAAGAUGGAGACGAGGAAAACAGAGAAGAGAUAUAACUGGGAGAAAUCAGAACAAAUAUAGACAAGGGAAAAGAGGCAGUGAGAGGGGGGGGUAGAAGGGGAGGGAGGGAGGAAAGAUUGCGUUAGGAGAAAUAAAGGCAGAAAAGAGUCAGAAAGUAGUGAAGAGAAGUAGGGAGAAAGAGGCAGAGAGAGGACAAAAGAUGUAACGAGGGGAGAAGAGGCGGAUACAGGCCAAAAGAAGGGAGAGAGGAGAAAUGAAAAGAGUGAAAGGACGAGCUACGAAAGAGGCAAAGUUAGAGAGAGAGAGAGAGAGAAAGAGAUUGCAGAGAGAGAAGAACACGAACCCAAAGUGAGUGAAAGAAAAAAAUCUAAAAAAAAAAGUGUAUGUGUAAAAGAGGGGAGAAAGAGGAAGAAAAAGAGGGGGAAAGGGGGAAAGGGGAAGUAAGGGGGUUAAAGAUCAAACAGCAGAGGAACGAGGAGCGAGAAGUUAGACCCAAGGUAUUCGGAGCCGGGCUGGUAUUUCGAGGAUGAAAGUAGUCCAGGAGGCGACGUCAGAGACAAAGGAGGCUUUUAUCGUAGUUGGGGAGGCCAAGAGACCGAUUCUAGGAAGAGGAGCGCGAGGAAUAGAAUGGAGGAAUAAGGUAAAACCAAGAAUAGAACGAUAGAUAGACGGGAGUGAAGGAGAGACCGAAAGAUUGAUGAUGGAUUUAGAGGCCGCGGGCAGUGUGAUUGAAUUUCCGAAGGUGAGAGAGUGCAGGGGUAUAUUAUAUACAUAGAUUUCUAGAAGUUCAUGUGAACGAAUGAAUGAAAGUGAGAACGUGAAUGAACACACCAAUAAAAAAAAGACAAAAUAAAAUAAAAAGGUGUCCAGAGUGUUUGGUGGUGCAAGCUAUGACGAAAAGACUUUUGCCACAACCUGUUUGUUUAACGCGGUGGAAAACGUAACUAUCAUCAACACAGGAGUUACCCUUUGCGUGUUAACAUUUCUCCCAUCAGGCUGUGCGGUAUGUAGCGUCACUGAAACCUUCUUUUUUAUAUUUGAUCUGUACUUCUCUCUUUCUCUUUCUAUUGUUUAAGAUUUUUCUAUUUCUCUUCUCUUUUCUUUUCUUUUUUCUCUUUAUUUCUCUCCAUUUUUUUUUUUUGUCACACUUUCCUCUCCCACUUGUUUUAUCUAUUUUUGUUUUUCUUUUUCUUUUCUUAUCUUCUCCAACGCCUGAGGACUUUUGGUGUAGAUCUCCCCACACUAUAAACUCCCCAGGGAUGUAUUUUACCUUUUCUUCCUAAAAACACUUAUUUUUUUCUACUUUUUACUCCAUCCCUCUCUUUAUCAAACCUCUUCCUUCCAUCCUUUUCUUUACGUUCUUCUUUCUCUGUUGCCUCACGUAGGAUUUUAAGGACUUUCUCAUGCAGAUCCUAAUGAACAACCCUGAAUUAUGCAAGAUCCUGUGAGAUCCGAUAGGAGAAAAAAAACAGAAAAAAAUAAUGCAUGAAGUGAUUGAUGUUGAAGAGAUAACUCACACUUAGGGUGAAGAAGGGUGGGGGUUUUGUCCUUUUUUUUAAGUCCUUUUUUAUUGAUUAAAUUGAUUCUUUAAAGUUUAUUUUGGGUUGAAUUACGCUAGAGGUGGAGUGAGUUUAUAUGAUCUUCCUUUUUUCUACUACUUGGAGUGUAAGUAAAUAGGAAAAUUAAUGAUUAUUAUCUCUUGUUAACCGAAGAGUUUUGGAAGAAACGGAAUGACGUGGAAAGUCGACGAAGGAAUAACUGUGAUAAAAGUAACACCACCAAGAAUGGAAUAGUUUCUGUAAAAAGAGUUGUUUGUCGUAUUGUAACGGUUAGGAAUUCCACCCUUAGGCGUCUGCACCCUCACUCUUACGUCACCCUAAUGAGUUCAAGCGUAGAAUAAAUGUGAUCCCGAUACAAGAGAGAAUAAGAAAGAGAGAGAGAGAGAGAGAAUAAAAAAAUAUCUCAAAGGUAAGAUUAUCUCGAUCUCUGAGACUGUGAUAAGGCGUAGUUGAUUUUUUUUUAAUGUGAUCGUUUGAGGGAGAAUUAAGAAAACGAAUAAGGAAACAAACAAACAGAAAAAAAAUCAUAUAAAAAACGAGAGUUGGAAAUACUGUUUUAAAUCUAUAUUUCGAUUCUUUGUUCAUAUAUAUUUGUUUUCGGAAACGUGAUUUUCGAGCUAGAGUUUGCAUUACAAGAAAUGACUAGGCGUGUUGCAGAAGGACAUUAUACCUCAACCUGUUUAAUGAAAACAAAGUAAACAGCAACUUGCACUGUUCAGGCUUGUAGUUUUUACCAUGUAUUGAGUAGACUAGCUGUGUGCUGUUGAUUUUUUGCAUUGCUAGUGAACUUCAAUCUCUGCUAGGUUUAAAUCCAUAAAAGAGAGAGAAAGAAAAAGAAACAAUAUAAGAAUCUCCUAGACACAGCGGGAGAUACGUUGAGUGAAUAUAUAUAUAUAUAUAUAUAUAUAUAUAUAUAUAUAUAUAUAUAUAAUAUAUAUAUAUAUAUAUAUAUUGUAGUUUUUCCGCAAGGUCACUGGGAAGCAAUUAUAGUUUUUGAUGUAGGGUUUGAGAAAGAUUUGGUACGAUUUUUUCGGGCAGAAGGUUGUAAACACAACAGAUUAGAAUAGUAUGCAAGGUGAGAGAGAGAGAGAGAGAGAGAGAGAGAGAGAGAGAGAGAGAGAGAGAGAGAGAGAGAGAGAGAGAGAGAGAGAGAGCAACAGAGCGACAGCGACAGCGACAGCGAGAAAGAGAGACAGAUACAGAUAAAGAUAUAGAGACAUACAGAAAGAAGGAAAAAACAAUGAGACAUAUAGACAGAAAAAAACAUAGAUAAGUGAGUGAACAGCAGAGAGAUAGGCAAAGGGAAACAGACGAGCGAAGUGGAGGCUCUAAUCGAAUAUCGAGGUAGAGAGAUGGAUGGACAGAUCUGAGGAAGAGUGAAUGGUAUGUAAUUGGAAGUAGAGGGAAGAAAAUGGAAAAAAAACAAGAAGAAAAAAAGGGAAAUGCGGUAUGGAAGUGACCAGGUAGUAGAAACACAAGAGAGAUUUAGAGAGAAAAAAAAUGAAGAGUGAGAGAGAAAGAGAGAGAUGGAAGAAGAGAGAAAGAGAGGGAGGGAGACUACGAAGAACAAAGGUAGAGGAAAUGACAUUACCAUAACAUAGACCCACAAAGAGAACAUGUAGAAACAGAGAGAGAGAGAGAGAGAGAGAGAGAGAGAGAGAGAGAGAGAGAGAGAGAGAGAGAGAGAGAGAGAGAGAGAGAGAGAGAGAGGAGGGGAGGGAGGAGAAGACGAAAAUGCAAUGAAAGUCAAAGAACGCAACACCAAAGAUAGGGAAAGACUGACAGCUUUUGCAAUUCCUAAAGUCUGUUGUAUUGAUUUUGGAAAGUGCAGAAUGAAAUAAAAAGAAAGUUAAAUUACUUGGGUACAAGAGUUAAAAGCUUAGGAGUAGUGCAUGAUGGAAAGGAGUGUAGAAAACUCUUUUGUUUUAGGAGAGUUGAAAAAGGGAGGGAGAGAGAGAGAGAGAGAGAGAGAAAGAAAGAAAGAAAGAAAGAAAGAAAGAAGGGAAGCAGGGAGAUAGAUAGACAGAUAGACAUAUACACAUAUACACAGAUAGAGAAAGAGAUAGGGAAUUAAUGGAGCAGUAGUUUAUAUGAAAGAAGAGAAGACAGGAGACAAAAAAUAUGAAAAAGAAUAUUGAUAUAUACACAAAAGACAUGUAAAAAGACAAAGAAAGAGAGUGUAAGAGAGAGUUAGACCCGUGUUAGUCAGAAGCGUACUUAACCGAACCCAGAAACAGAGAGAGUCAAAUAACACCCUGGGAUAAUUAAAGAUUAUGAUAUCGCAGAUGAGAGAGAGAGAGAGAGAGCCUGUCUGUCAUCCAGCCUCGUGAGAUUUGAGAUUAGGAUAACACGGAUUUCGUAAUGAUAGAAUCCAUCCAAGAGCUACAUUUCACCUUAUCCAACCGAACUAAGACAUAUCUCAUCUAAUCCAAGUGAACAAGAAUAUAUUAAAAAUGACCCCACGUGCCAUCCCCGAUAUGUUUCCUUAGGGAACACAUCCAUAUAGGAUUUAUCUCAUUUAUCCAACCUAUCCAACUUGUGCUAACUCACCAAGAUAUCCAUAAGGAUAUGUAAACCUAUGAUGCUUCCACCCAUCACGUAACAUCCUAAGAAUAUCCGACCAUCCAUACACAAAGCCACUAUAUAUCCGCCUUGGAUAUUAUUCCCAACACAGACGUUGCUCACCUUAUCCAGGAUAAAACACACACACACACACACACACACACACACACACACACACACACACACACACACACACACACACACACACACACACACACACACACACACACACACACACACACGCACACACAAGUUUAUCCAACAAAUCCCGGCCGGCGAGCAGAUAAUGAGGGUCAUUAAACAGCCAUUUUAGGUUCAUAAUGAUAGGAAGUGCAAUUAGAUUCUUUUUUUUUUUUUUUUUUUUUCUUACUGGAGAUUAUAUCCUUUUUUUUUUUUUGCCUUUUAUAUAAGGGUCAGGUAUUAUGUAUGUGUGUGUGUGUGUGUGUGUGUGUGUGUGUGUGUGUGUGUGUGUGUGUGUGUGUGUGUGUGUGUGUGUGUGUAUGUAUGUAUGUGCAUGGAGUAUAUCUAAAUGUUAAUGUGUGCGCGCGUGAUUGUAUGUAUGUAUGCAAAUUAGCCAUGCCAGUUUUUAGUAAUAGGUCAUUCAUACUUCCUUCGUUUCUUUCAUUUCGUUUCUUUCACUUUCAUUUUCUUUACUCUGCUUUUUCACCUCUUUAUAAGGCCAGUUUAGUUUAUUUUCUCUUCUGUCAUACUGAGUAUUUUGUCUUCAUCUCGUACUUUUUGAUACAUAAUAAUAACGAAAAAAAAAAAAAAAUAAUAAUGACUUUCUCUGUAGUUAUUUUAUUGAUUCUUCCUUCUGUCCGUUUUAUUAUUAUUAUUAUUAUUAUCAUUGUUAUGUUUUUAUCCGUUUCCUUCUUCCCUUACUUCACAAGAAUAGUGGAAAUGCCUACUUAACCCAAAGACUGAGAUAGAUAGAUGGAUAGACUUUUUUUUAUUUAUUAAAUUUUUUUCAUAGUUUCUUUUAAUAGCGAUGCUCGAGAACCAAAGGAAAGGAGUGGUAGCGAGAAGAAGAAGAAAAAGAAAUGUUUGGAAGAAAUAGAAAGUUUUUUUUUUUUUUUUUUUUUAGAGGAAAAAAAGGCUGGUUGAUGACAGCGUUGUCUCUCUCUUUUUUUUUGGGUGGGGGGGUUAUAGGCUUAGCUGUUUUGUUUUUGUUUUUGUUUUUUUUGGCGAAUGGAGAGAAGAAAGGAAAAUAUGCUGAUGAUUGAUGGAAAGGAAAUAGGUUUAAGGAUGACUCUCUCUUGAUAGGAUUGGUUGACUCUCUUUUAAUUCGUGUUUCGUCGAUUGUGAAUUUUCUUCCUUCCUUUCAAAUUCAUCGUCUUCCACUUAUUAAAUAGGUUUAUUCAGCAUAUUUUUUUUCUUUCUUCUGGCACUUUGAAAUAUCAGUCACCCUUGUUUAUUGUUUAUUGUUUCUAUCUUGUAUCUCAUUUCACUUACGAAAGGAAAUUUUCAGUCACCAUUUUUUCCCGCUGUGUUCAAAGGACUGUAUUUCCUUCUCUCUCUUCUUUAGGAAAAAAAUGAUAAAAUAAUAAAAAAAAAGAACACGGAAAGGAAGAGGGAACAAUGAGUCACUAAAGAAACUUAUAUUUAGUCUUUAAGGAAACAAAAAUAAACAGCAGAUGUAUGGGAAGCGCACAUUUUAUAGAAAGAUAUGUUUGACUUUGUUAUCGUGGGUAUUCAGUACACUGCAAGGGAUACCUGUGUUUAUAAAGCUGGGUAAUUAUAUUGUUGUGCAAGAAUGAAAGGUAUUCAGGCUAGCAAUGUAAUUAUUAUUUCUUAUGUGUACAUUUAUAUUACCGGAGAUAGUUCAUACUUUGAUAUUCGGAAGCAGAGGGAAAGGAAGAACAACAAAGUAUGAUUUAAGCAAUACAUAUUUCUUUUUUUUUUCUCUUUUUCUAUUGAUAUUUCUACAAGCAGUACAUGUUAUGUGUUGUCUGAACACUUUCUUUGAGCAUUUCAACUUUCUUCUAACAUAAGUAUUUAUAAGCAAGGACAUGUAUGCCAUUGUUAGCACAGAAUAGCAACGUGUGUUAUGUAGUAUAAGCGGUGAAGUGAUAGACAAUACGGCGGCGAUCGCGUACAGAGCAAACUUUCCCAUCCGCGACAGCUGCCAGGCUCGUAAUGUUUUUUUUUUUAUCUUUUCCCCGUCUAUGUGUUGGCGUAAUGGAACUUCUCUUUUCUUUGUUGUUGUUUCAUUACACAACACAUACACACACGUAGAUCUUAUACAACCGAUGGGCCUGGCAGACGUUAGCAGAUGUACCAUUAUUAUUACUGUUGUUGUUAUCAUUAUUACUGUUAUUAUUAGAUUGUAGUGCCACAUCGAGUCAUUACUACAUGUACAUUAUCGAAAUCACGUGACUUUCAACUGGGACUUGAGAGGCUAAAGUAAAGAGGCUAUGAUAGACGUGGGGAAUCAGCGAUAUCACGUAACAUGAGAAACCAAUUAUGCAAACUAAAAGAAAAUCGAAUGUAUUAUAUAAUUAUAAUGAGGCUAAAGUACAUAGAUUCGGAUCCGUUUCUUUAAAAUCACAAGAGGCUAGACAUGAGUAAAUCGCUGAGGGUAAGAAUUUUCUUGGAGGCUAAAAAUAUAACAAAAACAUUUUCUUUUUUUUCUUUUUCACUGCGUGCAUUUACGUAAAUUUGAUAUUUUACUUCGUUUCCUUUUCCUUGCAAAUUGUUUUUCUUAUCAAUGAGGCUAAUGAUGGAGGUUAUACUAUAUGCACUCGGAGAAUACUGACUAAACUUGUGAUUUCUUUUACAUAAUAUCUGAGGCUAAACUACAUAUGAAAUAAUGUUACAAAUAUUAAUGAGGCUAUUGUAUGUUUCUUCCUUCAGCGAUUUGCACUCUGAAUUGAUCGGAAAUGUAUGCGAAUGAGGCUAUUCAAACUGUUAAAACAAAACAAAACAAAAAAAGGUUUAUAUAUUUCGUAUGUUACAAAGAUGCAGAAAAAAGGCAAGAAUGACGUGAGAAAAUGUGGUAAAUAGAACGAAGUUGACGUGAUUACGAGAUCUUUUUCUUUUGAGAACUAGGUAGGCAGAAAGUAAGAAUAUCACAUCUACAUUUUUCAUCUGUACAGCACCAUGAGCUUUAAUACUUUCCAUCUUUCUGUGAUUUGAAAGAAUGUGAUGACAUGAUAAUAUUCUUUUCUUGUUCUUUUUUUCAUAUUGUUUCGUUUUCUUUCUUUUUUUUCGUUUUAAUUUGCUCUAAUCUUUAAGUGAGCUGGAGUUGGAACAGCACAGUUAAGGAUUGCGUUAACGAAGGGAAGGGAUUCAUAAUGACGAAAAUAUAUAUGUAAAUUCUCAAACAAAGCUGGUGAUAUGUAUAAACAAAAUAACAUUUAGGUCUUUAAACAGAACGAAGGUCUUGCCAAGUACAAAGGACGUUAGGAGGAACAUUUAAAACAUUCAAUGUUUUCAAAUGUUAAAUGAGUAUAGAUCACCUGGAAGAUGAAGUUUUACCCAAAGGGUUUUUUCUCUCUCUUUUAUUCCUUAUUUCUCUUAGCAAAUUCCUUCACUAAGGGCCAAUUUCUUCCGCUUUUGAACACCUGAUGUGAAAUUGACUCUUGGCGAAAUUUCAAGAUAAAAACAAAAAUAGAAAAAAAAUGAUUAAAAAAAAACAAAACAAAACAAACCCUCUGGAGAAACUGCAUCACAAGUUGGUCUCUUGGUAUCUUGAUUUCAAGAACGUGUAAAAAGGUUUAUUAAGGUCGAAAGUAAAUUAGAUAUAUAACAGUAAUUCGAUCGUAGUGACAUUCGAUCACUUACGUACACAAAAGAACCAUGAAAAUAUGAAAUCUAAUUCUUAAGAUUUUAGAAUUAAGCUGUUUAUUCUUGUAUCUAUAUAUUAAAAUAAACAUAAAAUUGAACGUACAAGUAGAAUGACUUAAGUGAUAAUUUGCUGUGAAUUGAGGUCGCUGGAAUGACUGAUGAUGGUGGCCGUGAAAAGCGAAACGUUGGAAAAAAGUGUAUGUGUGUGUGUGUAUUUUUCUCAAGCAGGGGAAUGCAUUAGCUUGGCUGCUUGUACAAAGAGAAUAAACGUCUGGAUUAGAUUAUAACGAAGAAUAUGCUGUGUGUGUUAUAAGACUUGUGAUUUUAAGAGUAAAGAAUUUGUUAUUAUAGCAGUGAGGACUUUUUUUUUCAGGGGAUUUGAGAUCAGUAUCAGUAUACUCCUGAGAUGUUUUUUGUGUGGGUAGAGUAUAGGCUUAGUGCUAAAGGAAUGCCGUUUUUUUUUUUCUUUUACUUAAGUGUGUAGAUGACAGAGAAAGAUCUUGUGUUUGCUUUUUCAGUGUAAUAUAAGAAAGUGGGAUAGAGUGUAUGCUCAAAGAAGACAGUGAAGUGUUGAGUUGGGAGUGUGUUGUUAGAUUCAGUUAAGGGAAAGAUUGUGUUCUGGCUGAAGCGUUUGUUUAAGGGAAUGAAAAACAGAGUGGUUUAAGACCUUGUUUGUGUUAGACCAGCCGAGUUAUCAUGUGUUUUACGAAAGCACGUAAUAACUACGAAAGAGAAAGAAAGAAAGGGAGAGAACAGGAAAACAAGAAUAAAAGUGUCAGCCCGGUUUUGAAUUUAAUGUCAAAAAGAAAUAGAGAAAGGUUAACAAAAACAAAAAACAACAACAACAAAAAAAAAACUAAAAAAAAAAGAUUGUUUAACCAACGUAUAGGAAAGUGGCAUAGUGAAGCUCUAGAUUUGCAGUGGAGUUAGAUAUUCAAAUAGGUAUGAAGUGGUACGGGCUUUAUUUGAAUACAAAGGGGGGAGAGAGAGAGACAGAGACAGAGACAGAGAGAGGGAGAGAAAGAGAGCGACACACACAUACACAGAGAGGGAGAAACAGUUAAAUUGAAUGCAAGGGAGAGAACGGUAGGCUAUAUUGUGCAUCUGGGGGAUUGAGUUGCAUGUGUGCAGUAGAAAAGGUUGGAUUAGAGGCACAGUUUGAGGAGAGAAGGGGAGGCCUGCGAUGAAAGAGGGUGUGAAGAGAGAGAAAAAGAAGGGAGGGAAGGGUAGAGGGUGGGAGUGCAGGAAGUGAGAGGGGGAAGAGAGAGAGAGGGAGAGAGAGAGAGAGAGAGAGAGAGAGAGAGAGAGAGAGAGAGAGAGAGAGAGAGAGAGAGAGAGGAGAGAGAGAGAGAGAGAGAGAGAGAGAGAGAGAAAGAGAGAGAAAGAGAGAGAGAGGGAGAAAGAGAAAGAAAGGAGGGGGAGGGUUAAGCAGUGAUUCCAUCAGGAUCGAAUAAAGGGAGGUGUGAAAAAAUGUAAUAAAGGGGAGGGACGGGAUAAGAGGAAAAGGGGUUGUAUACAAAGAGAGAGAGAGAGAGAGAGAGAGAGAGAGAGAGAGAGAGAGAGAGAGAGAGAGAGAGAGUAAGAGAGAGAAAAAGAAAGAAAGAGAGAGAGAGAGAGAAGAAAAAGAAUGUGGAAAAGAAUUGAAGAAGACAUUUAGAUGAAUGAGAGAACAGACAGAAAA